GCCCUGGUGGUGUAAUGGGUAAGUGCUCAGCUGCUAACUGAAAGGUUGGUGGUUCGAACCCACCCAGUGGCU
This 72-nucleotide transfer RNA is filed under the name Loxodonta africana (African savanna elephant). It matches the Rfam family "tRNA". Rfam says of the family: Transfer RNA (tRNA) molecules are approximately 80 nucleotides in length. Their secondary structure includes four short double-helical elements and three loops (D, anti-codon, and T loops). The record is from Rfam by way of RNAcentral. Lineage: Eukaryota; Metazoa; Chordata; Mammalia; Proboscidea; Elephantidae.